RNAcentral lists this long non-coding RNA (897 nucleotides) under Mus musculus (house mouse). RNAcentral's name for it is "long non-coding RNA chr7:86126332-86127229". The record is from RNAcentral. Lineage: Eukaryota; Metazoa; Chordata; Mammalia; Rodentia; Muridae.
AGAAUAUGUCUAUUUCUAUAGUAAACAUGGAUUAAUAUUUGAAGUGUCUAGAGGAUCAGUACACGAACAGAUAUCAAAAACACUUCCUCAAAAAAGUUGUGCUCUCUCUUGCUUAUGAAGACCCCUUGAGAAUGGAACUUACUGACUUAGCUAUGUGCUUCUCUGCUCUUACAGCAGAUGUGCGUUGUGUCUUCUUGAAACACAGAGAAACUCCCAUAGUCCAGGCAAAUAAUGAAACUCUCAGUUUUGUCCUAAUCAUCUUCCUCAUAUUUUGUUUUAUGUUUCUUUCUCUACAUUGUUUGUGCCACUAUGAACAGCUUUAUCCUGCCUCUACUGUCCUGACAGAAACAAUUACUAUGGUACUGGCAUUCAAGAUCACUGUGCAAGAAUUAAGAAUGAGGGGGCUACUAUUGUCAGGUGAAUCUACCUACAUCGUUCUCAUAUGUAUCACAAUCCAACUGAUACUUUGUGGAAUCUAGGUUGGAAUUUCUCAAUUUGUUGAUGCUGUUCAUGUAGUACGUGACCACAUCAUCAUUGUUUAAAAAAAAAAUUGAGUGAUUGUUUUCUAUCGUGUCCUAGGAUACAUGGGCUCUGCUGCAGCAUCCAGUUUUACUGUAGUUUCCUGGCCAGGAAUUUGUCUUCCUUAUGCAUUCAGUUAAAUCAAGCCCUGACAUUCAGCAUACUGAUUUUCUGCAGUGUCUGGAUCAAUUUUCUUCCUGUCUGCCACAGCACCAAGGACAAAGCAAUGGUUGCUGUGGAGGUCUUCUGUUUCUUCGCCUCUAGUGCAAGACUACUACUUUGUGACUUUGCCUCAAAGUGCUACAUUAUUUUAUUAAGUCAACAAAAAAUUCUUUUUACAAGUAUAGGAAACCACAUUCUAAAAUUUCAGUUAUUAAU